RNAcentral lists this ribosomal RNA (468 nucleotides) under uncultured bacterium. RNAcentral's name for it is "partial 16S ribosomal RNA". It matches the Rfam family "Bacterial small subunit ribosomal RNA", at positions 28 to 507 of the family's 1533-position model. The record is from RNAcentral.
GACGAACGCUGGCGGCGUGCUUAACACAUGCAAGUCGAACGGAAAGGCCCUGCUUUUGUGGGGUGCUCGAGUGGCGAACGGGUGAGUAACACGUGAGUAACCUGUCCUUGACUUUGUGAUAACUUCCGGAAAAUGGGGCUAAUACCGGAUAGGAGCUCCUGCUGCAUGGUGGGGGUUGGAAAGUUUCGGCGGUAGGAGAUGGACUCGCGGCUUAUCAGCUUGUUGGUGGGGUAGUGGCUUACCAAGGCUUUGACGGGUAGCCGGCCUGAGAGGGUGACCGGCCACAUUGGGACUGAGAUACGGCCCAGACUCCUACGGGAGGCAGCAGUGGGGAAUAUUGCACAAUGGGCGGAAGCCUGAUGCAGCAACGCCGCGUGCGGGAUGACGGCCUUCGGGUUGUAAACCGCUUUCGCCUGUGACGAAGCGUGAGUGACGGUAAUGGGUAAAGAAGCACCGGCUAACUACGUG